GGUCUUUUAAAAUGCCCCACCUUUCCCUAUAUUAGAGCCGUCGGGCAACCGACUAUGGCAAUAAACGGCCCUGCGUAAUAGACGUUUCGGACCCGGGGGCGGUACCCGGCGCCUCCACCAUUACCCUGAUCUUGCAUCAUGGGGGCGAACUAGGAUCGACGAGCGUUGAAAGGCUUGGCUUUUGCCCGGGAUGAUACCACCGUGACGGGUCAAAACCUAGAAAUGCCAACGACAAUGAUGUCAUGGCGCUUGCUGCGUAAGCAGUAGGCGGGGUUCGGAGGGCACCUAGCAACAGAAGCCCUCCACU
Molecule: transfer-messenger RNA, 307 nt
Filed under: Sphingomonadales bacterium
Lineage: Bacteria; Pseudomonadati; Pseudomonadota; Alphaproteobacteria; Sphingomonadales
Rfam family: Alphaproteobacteria transfer-messenger RNA
About the family: Bacterial tmRNA, also known as 10Sa RNA or SsrA, is named for its dual tRNA and mRNA-like properties. Its role is to liberate the mRNA from a stalled ribosome.
Source: RNAcentral